UCAGACGAUGCGUCAUGCAUAUCAAUAAGCGGAGGAAAAGAAACUAACUAGGAUUCCCUCAGUAACGGCGAGUGAAGCGGGAAGAGCUCAAAUUUGAAAUCUUCAAGGUUUUACCUUGACGAAUUGUAGUUUAAAGAAGUGUUUUCUGUUGAAGUUUUGGUAAAAGUUCUUUGGAAUAGGACAUCAUAGAGGGUGAGAAUCCCGUAUUUGACCAUUAUUUUCAGCUGUGUGAUACACUUUCAAAGAGUCGGAUUGUUUGGGAAUGCAGUCCAAAAUGGGUGGUAAAUUUCAUCUAAAGCUAAAUAUUAGGCGAGAGACCGAUAGCGAACAAGUACCGUGAGGGAAAGAUGAAAGGAACUUUGAAAAGAGAGUUAAACAGUACGUGAAAUUGUCAAAAGGGAAGCGUUUGACACCAGUGUUGUUUUCUCGAAAAUCAAUUAUAAAAUGUUUUGUUUCUGAGGAGUGAUGACUUCAUCGGCUUCCUUCUCUCUUCACGAAACUUUUGUAAUGCACUUUUCGGUUAACAAGUCAACAUCAAUUUCUUUUGUUGUAAAAGAGUAUUCGGAAGGUGGCUUUCUUUUCGGAGAAAGUGUUUAUAGCCCUAUACUUCUACAAUCGGAGAGAUUGAGGUCUGCAGCGUAGAUCCUUCGGGGUUAGAUACAUUUGUGCUAAGCUACAGCUUUUCAUAGACAACUUGUUGACUAUGUUUAGUCUUGUAACUUACCCGCUUAUGCUAUUUUACCUACGCUUAGGAUGUUGAUAUGCAUGACUGAUAU
This 776-nucleotide ribosomal RNA is filed under the name uncultured Neocallimastigales. Its description in RNAcentral is "partial large subunit ribosomal RNA". It matches the Rfam family "Eukaryotic large subunit ribosomal RNA", at positions 18 to 640 of the family's 3401-position model. Lineage: Eukaryota; Fungi; Neocallimastigomycota; Neocallimastigomycetes; Neocallimastigales. The record is from RNAcentral.